AUGGUCAAUCAUCGAGGUGAUGCCAUAUGGUUGUCGUGCAAGAUUGUUCCAUUGCGUAACCUUAUUAACAUCCCUCCUCGAACUGGGAGAAAGAGGGAAUGUCUUCGAUUGGUGGGGUAUGAUGAGGCUACCGAUGUAAUCUUUUUAGGUACCCACGACAGUGUCUAUAUGGUUCAACGCAAGUCAAUGCAAACCAGGAAACUAAAUGUGACCCAUUCUCCAUAUCGCUGUUAUCCUUUCACGAGUUUCUACCCACCAGAUACCAAAUCAAAUAUCAAACUUUGUUGGCAUCAUUGGUCAUGUUUGUUGGCAAGCUAA
This 318-nucleotide ribosomal RNA is filed under the name Triticum aestivum (bread wheat). RNAcentral describes it as "partial small subunit ribosomal RNA". Lineage: Eukaryota; Viridiplantae; Streptophyta; Magnoliopsida; Poales; Poaceae. The record is from RNAcentral.